UGGGGAAUAUUGCACAAUGGGCGAAAGCCUGAUGCAGCAACGCCGCGUGAGUGAUGAAGGCCUUCGGGUUGUAAAGCUCUGUCUUUUGGGACGAUAAUGACGGUACCAAAGGAGGAAGCCACGGCUAACUACGUGCCAGCAGCCGCGGUAAUACGUAGGUGGCAAGCGUUGUCCGGAUUUACUGGGCGUAAAGGAUGCGUAGGCGGAUUUUUAAGUGAGAUGUGAAAUACCCGGGCUUAACUUGGGUGCUGCAUUUCAAACUGGGAAUCUAGAGUGCGGGAGAGGAGAAUGGAAUUCCUAGUGUAGCGGUGAAAUGCGUAGAGAUUAGGAAGAACACCAGUGGCGAAGGCGAUUCUCUGGACCAUACUGAGCUGAGGCAUGAAAGCGUGGGUAGCAAACAGGAUUAGAUACCCUGGUAGUCCACGCCGUAAACGAUGAGUACUAGGUGUAGGAGGUAUCGACCCCUUCUGUGCCGCAGUUAACACAAUAAGUACUCCGCCUGGGAAGUACGAUCGCAAGAUUAAAACUUAAAUGAAUUGACGGGGUCAUAGC
Molecule: ribosomal RNA, 552 nt
Filed under: uncultured bacterium
Lineage: Bacteria
Description: partial 16S ribosomal RNA
Rfam family: Bacterial small subunit ribosomal RNA
Source: RNAcentral